RNAcentral lists this transfer RNA (77 nucleotides) under Ictidomys tridecemlineatus (thirteen-lined ground squirrel). RNAcentral's name for it is "Spermophilus tridecemlineatus (thirteen-lined ground squirrel) tRNA". It matches the Rfam family "tRNA". Rfam says of the family: Transfer RNA (tRNA) molecules are approximately 80 nucleotides in length. Their secondary structure includes four short double-helical elements and three loops (D, anti-codon, and T loops). Lineage: Eukaryota; Metazoa; Chordata; Mammalia; Rodentia; Sciuridae. The record is from Rfam by way of RNAcentral.
GGGGAUAUAGCUCAGUUGGUAGAGUGCUUGCCUCACAUGCACAAGGCCUUGGCUGGGUUCAAUCCCCAGCACCACCA